CCGGAGACGUAGCCGAUGGCGCGGUUGCCGAUCGGGGCGGCCAGCGUGCUCCACUUGUCGAUCAGGCGGGUCAUGUCCGGCGCCUUCGGG
This 90-nucleotide transfer RNA is filed under the name Streptomyces mutabilis. Its description in RNAcentral is "tRNA-Pro". The record is from RNAcentral. Lineage: Bacteria; Bacillati; Actinomycetota; Actinomycetes; Kitasatosporales; Streptomycetaceae.